RNAcentral lists this ribosomal RNA (937 nucleotides) under Salmonella enterica subsp. enterica serovar Fulica. RNAcentral describes it as "partial 23S ribosomal RNA". It matches the Rfam family "Bacterial large subunit ribosomal RNA", at positions 823 to 1757 of the family's 2925-position model. Lineage: Bacteria; Pseudomonadati; Pseudomonadota; Gammaproteobacteria; Enterobacterales; Enterobacteriaceae. The record is from RNAcentral.
GAAAGGCCAAUCAAACCGGGAGAUAGCUGGUUCUCCCCGAAAGCUAUUUAGGUAGCGCCUCGUGAAUUCAUCUCCGGGGGUAGAGCACUGUUUCGGCUAGGGGGCCAUCCCGGCUUACCAACCCGAUGCAAACUGCGAAUACCGGAGAAUGUUAUCACGGGAGACACACGGCGGGUGCUAACGUCCGUCGUGAAGAGGGAAACAACCCAGACCGCCAGCUAAGGUCCCAAAGUCAUGGUUAAGUGGGAAACGAUGUGGGAAGGCCCAGACAGCCAGGAUGUUGGCUUAGAAGCAGCCAUCAUUUAAAGAAAGCGUAAUAGCUCACUGGUCGAGUCGGCCUGCGCGGAAGAUGUAACGGGGCUAAACCAUGCACCGAAGCUGCGGCAGCGACGCUGAUGCGUUGUUGGGUAGGGGAGCGUUCUGUAAGCCUGCGAAGGUGGCCUGUGAGGGUUGCUGGAGGUAUCAGAAGUGCGAAUGCUGACAUAAGUAACGAUAAAGCGGGUGAAAAGCCCGCUCGCCGGAAGACCAAGGGUUCCUGUCCAACGUUAAUCGGGGCAGGGUGAGUCGACCCCUAAGGCGAGGCCGAAAGGCGUAGUCGAUGGGAAACGGGUUAAUAUUCCCGUACUUGGUGUUACUGCGAAGGGGGGACGGAGAAGGCUAUGUUGGCCGGGCGACGGUUGUCCCGGUUUAAGCGUGUAGGUGUGUGUUCCAGGUAAAUCCGGUUCACUUUAACACUGAGGCGUGAUGACGAGGCACUACGGUGCUGAAGCAACAAAUGCCCUGCUUCCAGGAAAAGCCUCUAAGCAUCAGGUAACAUCAAAUCGUACCCCAAACCGACACAGGUGGUCAGGUAGAGAAUACCAAGGCGCUUGAGAGAACUCGGGUGAAGGAACUAGGCAAAAUGGUGCCGUAACUUCGGGAGAAGGCACGCUGACAC